AAGUUUUUUGGGAAAAAAAAAAAAAAAAACUUGGAAUCAUAUUGAAUGUAACAAACUCAUUGUAAUUUUCAACACUAAAACUUCGUUCAUAUGAACACUAAAGAGGCAGUAGGCAGCAUCGGAAUCACCCAAAAGGCAAAAUGAAGAAAUGAAAAAGGGACAAGGACGUUUCAAACUUCAUCUAUUUAGCUGUGAGAGUAGCAACCAAAAUUUACUCUUUCCUAUAUAA
This 229-nucleotide unclassified non-coding RNA is filed under the name Hevea brasiliensis (rubber tree). The record is from RNAcentral. Lineage: Eukaryota; Viridiplantae; Streptophyta; Magnoliopsida; Malpighiales; Euphorbiaceae.